GCGUAAUAGCUCACUGGUCAAGUGAUUCCGCGCCGACAAUGUAGCGGGGCUCAAGUCAUCCGCCGAAGCUAUGGCAUUCGUACAUCAACCACCAACGUGGGUACGGAUGGGUAGGGGAGCGUCGUGUUCCGAGUGAAGCGACAGAGUGAUCUAGUCGUGGAUGGGACACGAGUGAGAAUGCAGGCAUGAGUAGCGAAUGACGUGUGAGAAACACGUCCGCCGAAUGAUCAAGGGUUCCAGGGUCAAGCUAAUCUGCCCUGGGUAAGUCGGGACCUAAGGCGAGGCCGACAGGCGUAGUCGAUGGACAACGGGUUGAUAUUCCCGUACCGGCAAAGUAGCGCCCAUGACGAACCUGGUGAUGCUAACCAUCCGAAGCCACCCAUGACCGAUCCCUUCGGGGUGAGGCGGGGUGGUGGAGCAUGGGACCCGAGCUGGUAGUAGUCAAGCGAUGGGGUGACGCAGGAAGGUAGCCCAACCACAGCGAUGGUUGUCUGUGGCCAAGCGUGUAGGGAGUCAGAUAGGCAAAUCCGUCUGACGGUGCAUCAGCACGAUCCUGAGACGUGAUGGGGACCCCGUAUGGGGGAAGUGGGUGAUCCUAUGCUGUCGAGAAAAACCUCUAGCGAGCUACGCGCCGCCCGUACCCCAAACCGACUCAGGUGAUCAGGUAGAGAAUACCAAGGCGAUCGAGCGAACCAUGGUUAAGGAACUCGGCAAAAUGCCCCCGUAACUUCGGGAGAAGGGGGGCCCGGAUCGUGUACCCACCAGCUGGGGAAGCGUGAAGGGCCGCAGAGACCAGGGGAAAGCGACUGUUUACUAAAAACACAGGUCCGUGCGAAGUUGUAAGACGAUGUAUACGGACUGACUCCUGCCCGGUGCUGGAAGGUUAAGAGGACCUGUUAGAGAGCAAUCUCGAAGCGGGAAUUUAAGCCCCAGUAAACGGCGGUGGUAACUAUAACCAUCCUAAGGUAGCGAAAUUCCUUGUCGGGUAAGUUCCGACCUGCACGAAUGGAGUAACGACUUUCCCACUGUCUCAACCGUGGACUCGGCGAAAUUGCACUACGAGUAAAGAUGCUCGUUACGCGCGGCAGGACGGAAAGACCCCGGGACCUUUACUAUAGUUUGGUAUUGGUGUUUGGUUCGGCUUGUGUAGGAUAGGUGGGAGACUGUGAAGCAGCCACGCCAGUGGUUGUGGAGUCAUCGUUGAAAUACCACUCUGGUCGUACUAGAUGUCUAACCUAGGUCCGUUAUCCGGAUCAGGGACAGUGCCUGAUGGGUAGUUUAACUGGGGCGGUUGCCUCCUAAAAUGUAACGGAGGCGCCCAAAGGUUCCCUCAACCUGGUUGGCAAUCAGGUGGCGAGUGUAAGUGCACAAGGGAGCUUGACUGUGAGACAGACAUGUCGAGCAGGGACGAAAGUCGGAACUAGUGAUCCGGCCACGGCAUGUGGAAGCGUGGUCGCUCAACGGAUAAAAGGUACCCCGGGGAUAACAGGCUGAUC
RNAcentral lists this ribosomal RNA (1496 nucleotides) under marine metagenome. RNAcentral's name for it is "bacterial LSU rRNA". It matches the Rfam family "Bacterial large subunit ribosomal RNA", at positions 1132 to 2487 of the family's 2925-position model. The record is from RNAcentral.